This 1366-nucleotide ribosomal RNA is filed under the name Parabacteroides distasonis. RNAcentral's name for it is "bacterial LSU rRNA". It matches the Rfam family "Bacterial large subunit ribosomal RNA", at positions 568 to 1977 of the family's 2925-position model. Lineage: Bacteria; Pseudomonadati; Bacteroidota; Bacteroidia; Bacteroidales; Tannerellaceae. The record is from RNAcentral.
AGACAGACUGAAAACGUGAAUAAUGCCGGUAAACAAUGUACCAGCUUCAAUGAGCCGGGAUGUUUCCGGUUCAACGCGAUCCGGGCCUCCCCCGAAUGACGCACCUGACGGAAGAACUGCAUGGGAUCUACCCUUGGCCAGAUUGAAGGUUGGGUAACACCAACUGGAGGACCGGAUGGGUAAGCGUUGAAAAGCUUUCCAAUGAGCUGAGGGUAGGGGUGAAAGGCUAAUCAAACUCGGAGAUAGCUCGUACUCCCCGAAAUGCAUUUAGGUGCAGCCUCUUUAUAGUAUAUCGUGAGGUAGAGCGACUGAUUGGAUGCGAGGGCUUCACCGCCUAUCAAGUCCAGAUAAACUCCGAAUGCGCGAUAUAUAUUUAAAGGGAGUGAGGGCGCGGGUGCUAAGGUCCGUGUCCGAGAGGAGAAGAAUCCAGACCACCGGCUAAGGCCCCCAAAUGAUCGUUAAGUUGAACUAACGAGGUCGGAUCGCAGAGACAGCUAGGAUGUUGGCUUGGAAGCAGCCAUUCAUUUAAAGAGUGCGUAACAGCUCACUAGUCGAGCGAUCUGGCGUGGAUAAUAAUCGGGCAUAAACGAUCUGCCGAAGCCGUGGAUGUCGUAAGACAUGGUAGGGGAGCAUUCCAUGCUGCGUCGAAGAUGAGGGAUGACCCUUGUUGGAGCGCAUGGAAAAGCAAAUGUAGGUAUGAGUAACGAUAAGGGGGGCGAGAAACCCCCCCGCCGAAAGACCAAGGUUUCCUGAUCAACGCUAAUCGGAUCAGGGUGAGUCGGGACCUAAGGCUAAGCCGAACGGCGACGCCGAUGGAAGAAUGGGUUAAUAUUCCCAUACUGCCUCAUGGAGUGACGUGGAGACGGAGAAGUGACAGUCCUGCCGGCUGACGGAAUAGCCGGUUGAAGGGUGUAGGAGUGGAUCAUGGUAGGCAAAUCCGCCGUGAGAUCCGAACCUGAGAGUAUACGGAGCGCUUGCGCGACGUAAUAUGGACGUAACCAUGCUCCCGAGAAAAUCCGCUAAACUUAUCCAUGCGGCACCCGUACCGUAAACGGACACACGUGGUCGGGUUGAGAAUACUGAGGCGCUCGAGUGAUUCACGGUUAAGGAACUAGGCAAAUUGACCCUGUAACUUCGGGAUAAAGGGUCCUCGUCGUAAGGCGAGGCGCAGAGAAUAGGUCCAGGCAACUGUUUAACAAAAACACAUGGCUGUGCUAAAUGGAAACAUGACGUAUACAGCCUGACACCUGCCCGGUGCUGGAAGGUUAAGAGGAGAUGUCAUCGCAAGAGAAGCGUUGAAUUGAAGCCCCGGUAAACGGCGGCCGUAACUAUAACGGUCCUAAGGUAGCGAAAUUCCUUGUCGGGU